GACGAACGCUGGCGGCGUGCCUAACACAUGCAAGUCGAACGGAGUGUUUAUUUAUAAACACUUAGUGGCGAACGGGUGAGUAACGCGUAGACAACCUACCCUCUAGAUGGGGACAACACCGCGAAAGUGGUGCUAAUACCGCAUGUUGUAAUGUUGUUGCAUAAUGAUAUUACUAAAGGUGGCCUCUAUAUAAAAGCUACCGCCAGAAGAUGGCUCGGCGUCUGAUUAGCUAGUUGGUAAGAUAACAGCUCACCAAGGCAAUGAUCAGUAGCCGGUCGGCGAGGAUGAGCGGCCACACUGGGACUGAGACACGGCGCAGACUCCGACGGGAGGCAGCAGUGGGGAAUCUUCCGCAAUGGACGAAAGUCUGACGGAGCAACGCCGCGUGAGUGAAGAAGGUUUUCGGAUCGUAAGGCUCUGUCUUCAAGGACGAAUGUAGAUAUUGUGAAUAAUGAUAUUUAAUGACGGUACUUGAGGAGGAAGCCACGGCUAACUACGUGCCAGCAGCCGCAGUAA
This 516-nucleotide ribosomal RNA is filed under the name uncultured bacterium. RNAcentral's name for it is "partial 16S ribosomal RNA". It matches the Rfam family "Bacterial small subunit ribosomal RNA", at positions 28 to 523 of the family's 1533-position model. The record is from RNAcentral.